AUCACUGAGGUGUAAAUUAUGCACGUUAGAUUUUCGUUCUACAGGAAUGGCUCCUGCGCCAUUAGUGAUU
RNAcentral lists this transfer RNA (70 nucleotides) under Angaria delphinus. RNAcentral describes it as "tRNA-Glu". The record is from RNAcentral. Lineage: Eukaryota; Metazoa; Mollusca; Gastropoda; Trochida; Turbinidae.